RNAcentral lists this transfer RNA (68 nucleotides) under Maliattha signifera. RNAcentral describes it as "tRNA-Cys". Lineage: Eukaryota; Metazoa; Arthropoda; Insecta; Lepidoptera; Noctuidae. The record is from RNAcentral.
GGCUUUAUAUUCAAAAAUGAUAUAAAAUUGCAAAUUUUAAGGAAUAGAAGUUAAUUCUAUUAAGGCUU